This 103-nucleotide microRNA precursor is filed under the name Marmota monax (woodchuck). The record is from RNAcentral. Lineage: Eukaryota; Metazoa; Chordata; Mammalia; Rodentia; Sciuridae.
AGAGGAAUAGCUGGGUCAAAUGGUGGUUCCAUUCCCAGAUUUUCAAGGAAUAUCCAUACCGCUUUUUAUUUUGGCUGUACCAAUUUGCAGUCCCACCAGCAAU